This 408-nucleotide ribosomal RNA is filed under the name uncultured bacterium. RNAcentral's name for it is "bacterial SSU rRNA". It matches the Rfam family "Bacterial small subunit ribosomal RNA", at positions 505 to 916 of the family's 1533-position model. The record is from RNAcentral.
CUGCCAGCCGCCGCGGUAAUACGGAGGGUGCAAGCGUUAUCCGGAUUCAUUGGGUUUAAAGGGUGCGCAGGCGGAUACUUAAGUCAGUGGUGAAAUCCCGGGGCUCAACCCCGGAACUGCCAUUGAUACUGAAUAUCUGGAAUACGGUUGAAGUGGGCGGAAUGUAGCAUGUAGCGGUGAAAUGCAUAGAGAUGCUACAGAACACCGAUCGCGAAGGCAGCUCACUAAGCCGAUAUUGACGCUCAGGCACGAAAGCGUGGGAGCGAACAGGAUUAGAUACCCUGGUAGUCCACGCCGUAAACGAUGAUAACUCGUUGUUGGCGACACACAGUCAGCGACUAAGCGAAAGCGAUAAGUUAUCCACCUGGGGAGUACGAUCGCAAGGUUGAAACUCAAAGGAAUUGGCGG